RNAcentral lists this transfer RNA (87 nucleotides) under Rhodospirillaceae bacterium. RNAcentral's name for it is "tRNA-Leu". It matches the Rfam family "tRNA". From Rfam's summary of the family: Transfer RNA (tRNA) molecules are approximately 80 nucleotides in length. Their secondary structure includes four short double-helical elements and three loops (D, anti-codon, and T loops). Lineage: Bacteria; Pseudomonadati; Pseudomonadota; Alphaproteobacteria; Rhodospirillales; Rhodospirillaceae. The record is from RNAcentral.
GCGGACGUGGUGGAAUUGGUAUACACGACAGACUUAAAAUCUGUUGGCGCUAGCGCCGUGCGGGUUCGAGUCCCGCCGUCCGCACCA